RNAcentral lists this ribosomal RNA (478 nucleotides) under uncultured bacterium. RNAcentral's name for it is "partial 16S ribosomal RNA". It matches the Rfam family "Bacterial small subunit ribosomal RNA", at positions 28 to 523 of the family's 1533-position model. The record is from RNAcentral.
GACGAACGCUGGCGGCGUGCUUAACACAUGCAAGUCGAGCGAUGAAGUUCCUUCGGGAAUGGAUUAGCGGCGGACGGGUGAGUAACACGUGGGUAACCUGUCUCAUAGAGGGGAAUAGCCUUCCGAAAGGAAGAUUAAUACCGCAUAAGAUUGUAGUGCCGCAUGGCAUCGCAAUUAAAGGAGUAAUCCGCUAUGAGAUGGACCCGCGUCGCAUUAGCUAGUUGGUGAGGUAACGGCUCACCAAGGCGACGACGCGUAGCCGACCUGAGAGGGUGAUCGGCCACAUUGGGACUGAGACACGGCCCAGACUCCUACGGGAGGCAGCAGUGGGGAAUAUUGCACAAUGGGGGAAACCCUGAUGCAGCAACGCCGCGUGAGUGAUGAAGGUCUUCGGAUUGUAAAGCUCUGUCUUCAGGGACGAUAAUGACGGUGCCUGAGGAGGAAGCCACGGCUAACUACGUGCCAGCAGCAGCCGCGG